This 587-nucleotide ribosomal RNA is filed under the name uncultured bacterium. RNAcentral describes it as "partial 16S ribosomal RNA". It matches the Rfam family "Bacterial small subunit ribosomal RNA", at positions 355 to 1376 of the family's 1533-position model. The record is from RNAcentral.
UGGGGAAUAUUGCACAAUGGGCGCAAGCCUGAUGCAGCCAUGCCGCGUGUGUGAAGAAGGCCUUCGGGUUGUAAAGCACUUUUGUCCGGAAAGAAAUCCUUGGCUCUAAUACAGUCGGGGAUGACGGUACCGGAAGAAUAAGCACCGGCUAACUACGUGCCAGCAGCCGCGGUAAUACGUAGGGUGCAAGCGUUAAUCGGAAUUACUGGGCGUAAAGCGUGCGCAGGCGGUUUGCUAAGACCGAUGUGAAAUCCCCGGGCUCAACCUGGGAACUGCAUUGGUGACUGGCAGGCUAGAGUAUGGCAGAGGGGGGUAGAAUUCCACGUGUAGCAGUGAAAUGCGUAGAGUGUGGAGGAAUACCGAUGGCGAAGGCAGCCCCCUGGGCCAAUACUGACGCUCAUGCACGAAAGCGUGGGGAGCAAACAGGAUUAGAUACCCUGGUAGUCCACGCCCUAAACGAUGUCAACUAGUUGUUGGGGGAUUCAUUUCCUUAGUAACGUAGCUAACGCUGAAGUUGGACCGCCUGGGGAGUACGGUCGCAAGAUUAAAACUUAAAGUGAAUUGACGGGGCUCAUAGCUGUUUCCUG